Molecule: ribosomal RNA, 256 nt
Filed under: uncultured Acholeplasma sp.
Lineage: Bacteria; Bacillati; Mycoplasmatota; Mollicutes; Acholeplasmatales; Acholeplasmataceae
Description: partial 16S ribosomal RNA
Rfam family: Bacterial small subunit ribosomal RNA
Source: RNAcentral
UUAAGUUGGGGACUCUAGCGAGACUGCCAGUGAUAAACUGGAGGAAGGUGGGGAUGACGUCAAAUCAUCAUGCCCCUUAUGACCUGGGCUACCAAACGUGAUACAAUGGCUGAAACAAAGGGCAGCGAAGCAGUGAUGUGGAGCGAAACCCAAAAAGCAGUCUCAGUUCGGAUUGAAGUCUGCAACUCGACUUCAUGAAGUUGGAAUCGCUAGUAAUCGUAGAUCAGAACGCUACGGUGAAUACGUUCUCGGGUUU